Molecule: transfer-messenger RNA, 401 nt
Filed under: Puniceicoccales bacterium
Lineage: Bacteria; Pseudomonadati; Verrucomicrobiota; Opitutia; Puniceicoccales
Rfam family: transfer-messenger RNA
About the family: Bacterial tmRNA, also known as 10Sa RNA or SsrA, is named for its dual tRNA and mRNA-like properties. Its role is to liberate the mRNA from a stalled ribosome. To accomplish this part of the tmRNA is used as a reading frame that ends in a translation stop signal.
Source: RNAcentral
GGGGGCGUAUGGAUUCGAUCUCGCGAGGCAGGACGGUGUUGCGUGCCGGAGACGGGUGGUUGGCUCCGUUAUCAAUCCAUCCAAUGUCAGUAAAUGGCAAAGAUAACAUCAUUAGGGGUCUCAAGUUCGGUUCGAGAGAAUCGGCCCUUGCGGCUGCCUAGUACCCUAUGCCGCUCCUGGUAGCGGCACGUCGCGGGGGCUGACCGCCUGCUAGGUCUCCGCGGCGACAAAUAGCGGGCGGGGCCGCGGACCGUGCGUAUCCGCGGUCGCAUUUUACGCACUCGCUCGCGCGGUUUUGCCGCAGCAGACCGCGGCGGGUUAGACAAAAGUUGCGGCUACGCACGUAGAGGUACCGCCCGAGAGCGCGGGAGACGCGGGUUCGACUCCCGCCGCCUCCACCA